RNAcentral lists this small RNA (316 nucleotides) under Drosophila ananassae. Its description in RNAcentral is "GF27931". Lineage: Eukaryota; Metazoa; Arthropoda; Insecta; Diptera; Drosophilidae. The record is from RNAcentral.
CCUUCUACUUCCAUAGAGUUCAGUUUCAAUUCAAUCGGCACUCAUUCAACUGAGAAUAUGAAAUAUUUGCAACUAAUCCUUAUUGUCCUGGUAGCGUUCCUUGGGCUCUCAAUGAGUUUAAAAAUGCCCAAGUCCAAAAUGGGGAAAGAGUGGAAGUGUCCUCGCAAAGAAAACAACUAUGGCAAACGUAAAGAUCCGAUAUAAACGAUCCGACAUAAAUAUUCCUAAUUAGUACAUACUAACUGCCUCUAUGUACUAUGUAGAAUCUAUGUAAAAUCUAUUUAUUUUCAAUAAACAACUAAGCUGCAAACAUAAA